RNAcentral lists this ribosomal RNA (505 nucleotides) under uncultured bacterium. Its description in RNAcentral is "bacterial SSU rRNA". It matches the Rfam family "Bacterial small subunit ribosomal RNA", at positions 20 to 518 of the family's 1533-position model. The record is from RNAcentral.
UGGCUCAGGAUGAACGCUAGCGGCAGGCUUAACACAUGCAAGUCGAGGGGCAUCGGGAGUAGCAAUACUUGCCGGCGACCGGCGCAAGGGUGCGUAACGCGUGAGCAACAUGCCCGUAUCAGGGGGGAUAAUCCAUGGAAACGUGGUCUAAUACCCCAUAGUAAUUAUGUAAGGCAUCUUAUAUAAUUUAAAGCUUUGGUGGAUACGGAUUGGCUCGCGUGACAUUAGCUAGAUGGUAAGGUAACGGCUUACCAUGGCUACGAUGUCUAGGGGUUCUGAGAGGAAGGCCCCCCACACUGGAACUGAGACACGGUCCAGACUCCUACGGGAGGCAGCAGUGAGGAAUAUUGGACAAUGGAUGGAAAUCUGAUCCAGCCAUGCCGCGUGCAAGGAAGACGGCCCUAUGGGUUGUAAACUGCUUUUGUAUGGGAGCAAUAAGGGCUACGCGUAGUCCGAUGAGAGUACCAUACGAAUAAGCACCGGCUAACUCCGUGCCAGCCGCCGC